AUGUAUCCAACCUCGCUGCUCCACAUCUUGAUUUCGCUGUUCCUACUCCAUCAACGCACGCAUGCCGAGUGUGAGCCAGUGACAUGCGGGGAACUCCCCAUCAAGUACCCAUUCUGGCUCGGCGGCCAGAGCCAUCCGUCGAAUUCCUCCUGCGGCCACCCGGCCUUCGAGUUACGGUGCGCCGGCAACAGCACCGUGGCUUCCUUGAGGGGCUCUGGCAUCCACGUCCACGACAUCGACUACGACACCAGGUCCUUCCUCGUGUCCCACGACAGAGUCACCCACGGCACCGACGCCGUGUGCUGCAUCGACUUCAACAUGUCGACCAUCCUACCUCUUGCCCCGUUUGAGAUCAGCCCCACCAACCGGGCCCUGUGCUUCCUCUACGACUGCAACGGGACAGAGCCGUGUGGGCGCGACUAUGUGAACGCCACCGGCGUGCCCAGCUGCCCUUGGCCCAUCUCCGUGUACCUCGGCGGCAGCUACGACCGGAACAUGCCGCCCGCAAUACCCACCGGAAACUGCAUGUACGCUUACCACCCGGUGCUUGGAUCGGAGGCAGCUAUCUUGACGGCGGCAAACUACAGUCGACUCCUGAAGAGCGGGUUCGUCCUAGAUUGGGCAGGCACCGGCGCUGGGGACUGCUCUUCCUGCAGUGCGAGUGGCGGGCAGUGUCGAUAUAAUAACGAGUCUGCCGCCUUCGCGUGCCUCUGCUCUGUUGGCAAAAUGCACGAGUCGACAUGCGCUGAGGAAAUAACAUCUUCUUUCAUCUCAGGUUUGACAUCAGCUGCUGCAACCUUGCUCUUUACAUGUCUUUAUGUGCUGAUAUGGCAUAGAAAGGGGAAAAGACUAAGGUUCAUUUGCAAGAAAACUAGCAGUAACACUGAAAAGAAUUAUGAGGCCAUGAUAGUAUCCCAUGGACCCCUAGCUCCAACAAGAUACAAGUACUCAGAGGUAAUGAAGAUAACAUCUUCUUGCAACAAUCAGCUGGGAGAAGGUGGUUAUGGUGUGGUUUUUAAAGGAAGACUGCAUGAUGGCCGUCUGGUUGCUGUAAAAUUCUUGCAUGGCUGCAAAGAAAAUGGGGACGAGUUUGUGAAUGAGGUUAUGAGCAUUGGAAGAACCUCUCAUGUUAAUGUUGUUAGCUUAUUUGGGUUUUCUUUAGAGGGAUCAAAACGAGCUCUAAUAUAUGAGUACAUGCCCAACAGUUCCUUGGAUAAAUACAUUUACUCAGAGAACGCCAAGGAAAUUUUAGGAUGGGAGAGGCUCUAUGGGAUAGCAAUCGGGAUUGCUCGAGGCCUUGAUUACUUGCAUCAUAGCUGCAACACACGCAUCAUCCAUUUCGAUAUCAAGCCUCAGAAUAUCCUUCUAGAUAAAGAUUUUAGCCCAAAGAUUGCUGAUUUUGGUCUAGCUAAAUUGUGUCAUACAAAGGAGAGCAAGCUUUCAAUGACGGGAGCUAGAGGAACAAUUGGAUUCAUUGCCCCAGAAGUUUACUCUCGAACCUUCGGGGUGGUUUCAACUAAGUCUGAUGUUUAUAGUUAUGGGAUGAUGCUGCUAGAGAUGGUUGGAGGUAGGAGAAAUGUAAAAUCAAUUGUUACAAAUUCUAGUGAAAAAUAUUUUCCAGAUUGGAUUUACGACCACUUUGAUCAAGAAGAUGGAUUACAAGCAUGUAAAGUCACGACUGGAAUUGAGGAAAUGGCGAAAAAGAUGACCUUAAUCGGCUUGUGGUGCAUACAAGUAUUACCUGUGCAUCGCCCUACUAUAACAAAUGUUCUAGAAAUGUUUAAGAGAAGCUCAGAUGAUCUGGACAUGCCACCAAAGCAUAAUUUCUGUGAAUUGCUGUAA
This 1842-nucleotide ribosomal RNA is filed under the name Triticum aestivum (bread wheat). RNAcentral describes it as "partial small subunit ribosomal RNA". The record is from RNAcentral. Lineage: Eukaryota; Viridiplantae; Streptophyta; Magnoliopsida; Poales; Poaceae.